UGGGGAAUUUUGGACAAUGGACGCAAGUCUGAUCCAGCCAUUCCGCGUGCAGGAUGAAGGCCUUCGGGUUGUAAACUGCUUUUGUACGGAACGAAAAGGCUCUGAUUAAUACUCGGGGCUCAUGACGGUACCGUAAGAAUAAGCACCGGCUAACUACGUGCCAGCAGCCGCGGUAAUAA
RNAcentral lists this ribosomal RNA (179 nucleotides) under uncultured beta proteobacterium. RNAcentral's name for it is "partial 16S ribosomal RNA". It matches the Rfam family "Bacterial small subunit ribosomal RNA", at positions 355 to 526 of the family's 1533-position model. The record is from RNAcentral. Lineage: Bacteria; Pseudomonadati; Pseudomonadota; Betaproteobacteria.